GCGGCGAACGGGUGAGUAACACGUGAGCAACCUACCUCCAACUUCGGGAUAAGCUCGGGAAAUCGGGUCUAAUACCGGAUAUCACCUCCGUUCUCAUGGGUGGGGGUUGAAAGUUCUGGCGGUUGGGGAUGGGCUCGCGGCCUAUCAGCUUGUUGGUGGGGUAAUGGCCUACCAAGGCGUCGACGGGUAGCCGGCCUGAGAGGGCGACCGGCCACACUGGGACUGAGACACGGCCCAGACUCCUACGGGAGGCAGCAGUGGGGAAUAUUGCGCAAUGGGCGAAAGCCUGACGCAGCAACGCCGCGUGAGGGAUGACGGCCUUCGGGUUGUAAACCUCUUUCAGCAGGGACGAAGCGAGAGUGACGGUACCUGCAGAAGAAGGACCGGCCAACUACGUGCCAGCAGCCGCGGUAAUACGUAGGGUCCGAGCGUUGUCCGGAAUUAUUGGGCGUAAAGGGCUCGUAGGCGGUUCGUCACGUCGGGAGUGAAAACUCGGAGCUCAACUCCGAGCCUGCUUCCGAUACGGGCAGACUAGAGGUAGGCAGGGGAGAGCGGAACUCCUGGUGUAGCGGUGGAAUGCGCAGAUAUCAGGAAGAACACCGGUGGCGAAGGCGGCUCUCUGGGCCUUACCUGACGCUGAG
This 641-nucleotide ribosomal RNA is filed under the name Kribbella sp. I12A-02605. RNAcentral describes it as "bacterial SSU rRNA". It matches the Rfam family "Bacterial small subunit ribosomal RNA", at positions 95 to 750 of the family's 1533-position model. Lineage: Bacteria; Bacillati; Actinomycetota; Actinomycetes; Propionibacteriales; Kribbellaceae. The record is from RNAcentral.